GGGGUUUCAGUCCGCGGACAGGAAGCAGAGAUGCCAGCAGUGUGUGAGCGCGUUACGAUGUCAUAACCCGAGGCGGAGGACCCGAAGAGGAACUGAAACUCGAACUGGCCAGCAGAACACGGACCCGCGCGAAUCCACAAGGUCUCACAAACCAUGGGCUGUUCAUCCAGCAUUAAAGUCAAGUCCAAGAACCCCCCAGCUGACGCCUCCCAAGUGGACACAGUAGAUCCGAUAGAACCGGAAGAACCCAAAGCUCUGACUCUGCUAGAAGUGGAGAGGAUACAUGAGGACAAAACCGGCGGUUCGCAGGAGGGGCGAGAGAAGCUGCCCCAGGUGCCAGAUCUCAGAG
Molecule: long non-coding RNA, 349 nt
Organism: Anguilla anguilla (European eel)
Lineage: Eukaryota; Metazoa; Chordata; Actinopteri; Anguilliformes; Anguillidae
Exons: 3
Source: RefSeq, a predicted model, not a curated record